AGUCUGAUCUCAGCCGUGAAAUGGAAUCUGAUAUGAUAGAUGUGUGCAAGGGUGUGACUAAAAUCUAUCAUUACAUAAUUGCUCUGCCACCUGAUCUUACAGAACUGGAAACACAAAUUCCAGAAGUUAUUACCCCUGAAGAGAAGUCAUGUAAUGUGCAAGUGCCAAUAACUGCAACUAAUUCACCCAUUGAACGUAUAUUUCCCCUUCAAGAUGUGCUCC
Capra hircus (goat) is the source of this 222-nucleotide long non-coding RNA. RefSeq lists it as uncharacterized. The record is from RefSeq and is a predicted model, not a curated record. NCBI's taxonomy places the organism in Eukaryota, Metazoa, Chordata, Mammalia, Artiodactyla, Bovidae. The transcript has 3 exons.